UUAUUAACUAUAUCAUUAUCUUUGUGCUUUUGGUCUACUGUCUCCUGAUUGCUUUUAUUUUCGUUAUUAUUGUCACCCAUUUUACUUGAUAAAGCACUUACUUAAUGUUAACAAUAUGGUGAAGUUAUGAAUAAAAGUGGACAAUGGAUAAAUAUUUAAACUCAGAAGUUAAUGGAAUAAUUAACGUAUUAGUAACCACUGACAUAUGAAAUGACAAUCUCAAAUGACUGUAGAGAAAGAAUUGUACGACUAAUUUUUACCACUAAUCACAUCUAUCUGUUUUUAAUAUUAAAUUUAAGAUAACAUUUUAUUGAUUAUAAAAUCUCACGAAUGAUUAAAUGUAUAUUUAAGACAUGUUCAGUAUCUAGGCAAAGAAAUAACUGAUGGAUUAGAUGAUGCUGCGGUAUGAUUUUUGUUAUUUCUUAAUAUAUACGAUGGUGAUAAUAUUAAGGACAUUUAAAUAGCAGUUAGCAAUCGCCUGGGCAAAGUUUAUGAUGACAAAUCAUGAACCUUUUUAAUUAUUCUAUAUCAUCAUAGAUAUAUUAAUCAAAACAUUCAAUAACAAAUAAUCAUUUUUCUGUUUAUAAUUUUUAAUCAAAUGAUUACUCAUUAGUUUUAAUGACUCAGAAUAUCCGUGGGUGUCUUUUUUUUUCUAAUCGAAUCGUUUCACCAGUUAUUUAGAUGUGCGUUGAAUUAACUUGCAUUAUUCAUUACUAUUUUAUAUAAAUCUUAGAAUAAAAAUGAAUGACCCAGACAUUUUACAUGUCAAAAGAUCUGGAGUUCACAAUAAAAUGAUAAAGGUCUUUAAAGUUUUCUAUUUAAUUAAACUAUGCACUUAAAAUAUUAAUUGAUUUUAUUAAAUUUCCACUCUUACAAAAGAUUCCAUUAUUGCAAAAAAUUAAAUAAAAAAUUAUUAUGGUCAGUUGUUUUUAAGUGAGAGUUUCUUGUUAUUUAUUUAAAGAGAAAGUGUUGAAGAAAUUUAUAGCUAAUGAUUUUAUACUUUCCAAUCAUAUUAUAGAUCCAUCACACGUAAUAAU
Molecule: long non-coding RNA, 1037 nt
Organism: Cotesia glomerata
Lineage: Eukaryota; Metazoa; Arthropoda; Insecta; Hymenoptera; Braconidae
Exons: 3
Source: RefSeq, a predicted model, not a curated record